UACGGAGGGUGCCAGCGUUGUCCGGAAUCACUGGGCGUAAAGGGCGCGUAGGCGGCUCAUGAAGGCUGUGGUGAAAGUCCGGGGCUCAACCCGGGAAUUGCGCUUGAGACUGGUGUGCUCGAGUACGGGAGAGGAUAGUGGAAUUCCCAGUGUAGAGGUGAAAUUCGUAGAUAUUGGGAAGAACACCGGUGGCGAAGGCGGCUAUCUGGACCGUAACUGACGCUGAGGCGCGAAAGCGUGGGGAGCAAACAGG
This 253-nucleotide ribosomal RNA is filed under the name uncultured bacterium. RNAcentral's name for it is "partial 16S ribosomal RNA". It matches the Rfam family "Bacterial small subunit ribosomal RNA", at positions 524 to 776 of the family's 1533-position model. The record is from RNAcentral.